This 429-nucleotide ribosomal RNA is filed under the name uncultured Solirubrobacterales bacterium. Its description in RNAcentral is "bacterial SSU rRNA". It matches the Rfam family "Bacterial small subunit ribosomal RNA", at positions 355 to 776 of the family's 1533-position model. Lineage: Bacteria; Bacillati; Actinomycetota; Thermoleophilia; Solirubrobacterales. The record is from RNAcentral.
UGGGGAAUCUUGCGCAAUGCACGAAAGUGUGACGCAGCAACGCCGCGUGCGGGAAGACGGCCUUCGGGUUGUAAACCGCUUUCAGUUGGGACGAGGGUUCUGCGGUUAAUACCCGUAUGGACUGACGGUACCUUCAGAAGAAGCCCCGGCUAACUACGUGCCAGCAGCCGCGGUAAUACGUAGGGGGCAAGCGUUGUCCGGAAUCAUUGGGCGUAAAGCGCGUGUAGGCGGCUGAGCAAGUCCGCUCUGAAAGCCCGAGGCUCAACCUCGGGAGGCGAGUGGAUACUGCUCAGCUCGAGUCCGGAAGAGGAGUGUGGAAUUCCUGGUGUAGCGGUGAAAUGCGCAGAUAUCAGGAGGAACACCAAUUGCGAAGGCAGCACUCUGGGACGUGACUGACGCUGAGACGCGAAAGCGUGGGGAGCAAACAGG